AUGGCCCAUCAGCUAGUUGGUAGGGUAAAGGCCUACCAAGGCUACGACGGGUCGCUGGUCUGAGAGGACGACCAGCCACACUGGCACUGAGAUACGGGCCAGACUCCUACGGGAGGCAGCAGUGAGGAAUAUUGCGCAAUGGGGGAAACCCUGACGCAGCAACGCCGCGUGUGGGAAGAAGGGCCUUCGGGUCGUAAAACCACUUUUGCACGGGACGAAAAAGGGAUAUCGAACAAAUAUCCCCGAUGACGGUACCGUGAGAA
This 263-nucleotide ribosomal RNA is filed under the name uncultured bacterium. Its description in RNAcentral is "partial 16S ribosomal RNA". It matches the Rfam family "Bacterial small subunit ribosomal RNA", at positions 233 to 486 of the family's 1533-position model. The record is from RNAcentral.